RNAcentral lists this ribosomal RNA (363 nucleotides) under uncultured bacterium. Its description in RNAcentral is "bacterial SSU rRNA". It matches the Rfam family "Bacterial small subunit ribosomal RNA", at positions 29 to 419 of the family's 1533-position model. The record is from RNAcentral.
AACGAACGCUGGCGGCAUGCCUAACACAUGCAAGUCGAACGAGACCUUCGGGUCUAGUGGCGCACGGGUGCGUAACGCGUGGGAAUCUGCCCUGGGGUGCGGAAUAACUCGGAGAAAUCCGUGCUAAUACCGCAUAAUGUCUUCGGACCAAAGAUUUAUCGCCCUGGGAUGAGCCCGCGUAGGAUUAGCUAGUUGGUGGGGUAAAGGCCUACCAAGGCGACGAUCCUUAGCUGGUCUGAGAGGAUGAUCAGCCACACUGGGACUGAGACACGGCCCAGACUCCUACGGGAGGCAGCAGUGGGGAAUAUUGGACAAUGGGCGAAAGCCUGAUCCAGCAAUGCCGCGUGAGUGAUGAAGGCCCUA